CCUCUGAUUGGUUGUUUACAGGUAAAAUGUGGCAAUAAUGACCUGGUGCAGUGGAUUAAAUUGAAACUUAACAGACCACCAUGAUGUUCAUCUACUUACACAAUUCUCACAGCCUUUCUGGUACAAAUAUACAACCGCUACUCGACAGAUUUAAGCAGAUCGUGUAUUCUGUGACAUACCUGUGACUAGUUUCAAGGGUUCCUCUACCCUGGCAGCCUGUCUUGGUCAGUGCCUGCUCAACCAGGUUGUUGCUGUUAGUGCCCUCGGAGCCAUGACAAUCUGACGAUGUGAAGCUGAUGCAGAGAAUUCAAGUGGAUGAAGAUCAAGUAGGACUACAAAAGGAUCUGGACAUGCUGUAAGCCUGGUCCAACAACUGGCUCCUGGAGUUUAACCCCACCAAAUGCAAUGUCAUAAAGAUUGGGGAAAGUCAAAGAAGACUGCAGACAGAGUACAGGCUAGGAGGGGGAGGGGACAAAGACUCAAACCUCACUCAAGUAAAAGGAUCUUAGGGUGAGUAUAAUACUGAACACAUCUCCUGAGGUGCACAUCACCCAAAUAACUGCUGUAGCAUAUGGGUGCCUGCCAAACCUAAGAAUAACAUUUUAACACUUAAGUAAGGAAUCAUUCAAGAUUCUGUACAUCAGGCUCAUAUUGGAGUAUGUAGCUCCAGUAUGGAACCCACACUUGGUCAAGCCCGUCGAGAAAUUAGAGAAAGUGCAAAGGUUUAUAACAAGACUAGGCCUAGAGCUAAGGGGUAUGUCCUGCAAGGAGAGGUUAAGGGAAAUCAACUUGACGACACUGGAGGACAGGAGAGAUAGGGGAGGACAUGAUAACAACAUAUAAAAUACUGGAUAGGGACUGGAUAGGUGGAUAGGGACAGGAUGUUUCAGUGAUAGUACACAGUAACAAGGGGUCACAACCAGAAAAUGAAAACUCAGAUGAGUCGCAGGGAUGUUAGGAAGUAUUUCUUGAGUUAUAGAAUUGUCAGGAAGUGGAACACUCUGGAGAAUGAUGUAGUGGAGGCAGGAUCCAUACAUAGCUUUAAGAGGAGAUAUGAUAAAACUCAUGGAGCAGGGAGAGAGUGGACCUAGUAGCAACCAGUGAAGAGGCAAGGCCAGGAGCUAUGAAUCAACCCCUGCAACUACAAAUAGGGGAGUACAAAUAAGUGAGCACACACACAUGCACAUACACACAUAUAUACAUACAUUUACUCAUAUCACAAAAAAAUAGCCUGAGCAGGACUAUUGCCAAAUUUGGCAGGUAUAGCCCCUAAUGACCUCUUGCAUAUAAUGUAAGUUAAUCUUUAAAUAAAAAAUGCUAGCAAAAAGUGUCUUGUACAUAAAAUAUAUGGCAGGAGCUCUCUUAAUCCUAGAAAACCCUUAAGUGUUAAAAAAUUAGCCUUGUACCAGGCAGGCAUCACCAAGGUGUAGCUAUGGAACACAAGAGUACAUUGUUCCUACCAUGCAUAACACUGUGUGUACACAAGCAAGAUGGGCAAAGGAGGAAAGGAGGGAAGAAAUGCUAGAGCAAUCCACUCAUUUUCAAGGCUGUCUUUAAUGGGAUGUUGCAUUAAUGUCAGCUGUUGAACUUUCAUUAUUAAAGUGCUUAAAACCUUCAAACUGUAUUAUACUGGAUAAUUUUCGUUAAGAACUGUUUAUGGUAAUCACAUAAAUUCUUAAUCUCUGCAUAUAAAUUAAAAAUGCACCUCUGUAUGAGGCGAUUUAAUUUUCUUGAAAUUCAUAACAAGAUCAAAUGAUUGUGGCUAACACUAGUACCAACUGGGAUAUUUUAUGUAUUGUUGAAGCUCCCGAAUUAUUAUUAUACACUAUUCAGAAACGUGCUAAAUCCAUAUGGGUCAUUUUCCCAGGACUGAAAAACAACAGCAUGUGUACAGCCUACGAUGUUGAAACCCGUUGAACUAAAGGGAAACAACUAUGACACUACAAGCAUGUUUGCAGUAUUGAAGUUUUUCAUGCGACAUCACCACUUGCUGACUCACCAUGUUGGGCAUCAAGCAUCAAUGAUAAACAGAUACACAUAGCAUGCCUGUUUUGAGAGUUCUCUCAUCCUUGAAAGCCUUUAUCUUGAUUAUUCCUUGUUGUGCUGUUAGGUAUAAUAACUAACAUAGUGAUAAAUUUAAUCUAGCAUUCUGCAGGCUCCCCAAGGAUUUAGAAAUAGAAGAGAGAUGGAUUUCUGCCACAAGGUGGAAAAACUGGGAGCUAAGAGAAUACAGGCAUCUGUUUAGCAAACAUUUCACUGCUUCCACUUUCACAAUUGUAUAGCAUGGUAGUACAGUGAUAUUUAUCCCUGGAUGGUUGCUGUCUAAGAACUUCCUACCAAUGUGGAAAACAUUUAACAGACUUUUGUUUCAUACACAAGGCAGGAGGGUACAGUAAUACCUUAUUGAAUGGUUAAUAUCUACCAACUUACAGCCUAAAGUGUUAGUCUUUAUAUACUGUAUAGCAAAUUUAGGCUUUGGUCAGUUUGAAAGUAUUAUGAAGCAAAUUAAAUACGGUACACAGAAUAUAUAAAAUAGCCUGAGAUAUCUGUCAAGACUAAGCUUCUUCAAAUUUUAUGGAAAAAUUAUCAAUACACUUAUAGGAAAUUAAUUUACAAAAAUAUUAUUAAUCAUUAUCAGCACUAUAUGACCCUUGUGGGUUUAGCACUUAGUUUUGAUUAUAAUAAUAAUAUAUUAUUAAUCAUUAUAAAAAAUUUAUGUGGAAACUUUUUUACAACAAAAUUUGGCCCCACGACAUUUUCUUUCUACUGUGAACGACAUUAAAAGGAAGAGUGAAGGGUCAUUUUUAUGACUUGGCUCCAGUACCAGAAAAUACUGUAAAUAAUUAUUUAAAGUACAUUUCUUAAAGGAGAAAAGCUAUUAUGAUUGCAUGAUAACCCACUGAACCGCAUCUCCAUCUAGCCUUUAAAGUUCCAGUGCUAUUCUAUAAUGUACUUCACACCAGUUUCCGUUCAUGGGUCCUACUAGCUCACACUCUGUCAUUACAUUAUAUUUUUAAAACAUCUUAUCUCACUCCAGUCUAAUAUAUUCACAAGAGUGUAGCUGGCAGAUUCUCUAGCCUGCAUCUUCACAACCUGCUUCCAAUGCUGCCUUGGAAGUCAUUCACAUAUCCUUCCAUCCACCUUUCAUUUAUACCCUUUAAUUAAAUUUAUACUGUGCUGUAUACACAGUAGUUCACCUCAGUACCAUAAUGAGAAUUAUCACAAUUAUACAACUGUUGUACUAACGACCACAAUGAACAUUAUAUUAGAGCAAUAUGUUAUGGUUUUUAAAUCUAGAGCUGGGUAAAAGAGGCUGCUGAUGGCUUUUUUUUUUUUUUCUGGUACCACACCACCUCCAAGGUGCAUCAGUUUAUCCACAUUGACCUGAUUUUUUUUUUUUUUUUUUUGCAUGCGGCAAGUGAACACGCGGAGACAAUAUCACACUUUUGCGUAGAAU
This is a non-coding RNA of Cherax quadricarinatus, 3457 nucleotides long. NCBI's taxonomy places the organism in Eukaryota, Metazoa, Arthropoda, Malacostraca, Decapoda, Parastacidae. The record is from RefSeq and is a predicted model, not a curated record.